UCAAAUCAUCAUGCCCUUUAUGUCCUGGGCUACACACGUAAUACAAUGGCGCAUUAACAAAGGGAAGCAAAGGCGCGAGCCGGAGCAAAUCCCCAAAAGGCGUCUCAGUUCGGAUUGCAGGCUGCAACCCGCCUGCAUGAAGUCGGAAUUGCUAGUAAUCGCGGAUCAGCACGCCGCGGUGAAUACCGUUCCCGGGCCUU
RNAcentral lists this ribosomal RNA (200 nucleotides) under uncultured prokaryote. Its description in RNAcentral is "partial 16S ribosomal RNA". It matches the Rfam family "Bacterial small subunit ribosomal RNA", at positions 1185 to 1382 of the family's 1533-position model. The record is from RNAcentral.